Molecule: ribosomal RNA, 253 nt
Filed under: uncultured bacterium
Lineage: Bacteria
Description: partial 16S ribosomal RNA
Rfam family: Bacterial small subunit ribosomal RNA
Source: RNAcentral
UACGUAGGGUGCAGGCGUUAAUCGGAAUUACUGGGCGUAAAGCGUGCGCAGGCGGUCUGCUAAGAGAGAUGUGAAAUCCCCGGGCUUAACCUGGGAACUGCGUUUCUAACUGGCAGGCUUGAGUGUGGCAGAGGGGGGUGGAAUUCCACGUGUAGCAGUGAAAUGCGUAGAGAUGUGGAGGAACACCGAUGGCGAAGGCAGCCCCCUGGGCUAACACUGACGCUCAUGCACGAAAGCGUGGGGAUCAAACAGG